GAUGAACGCUGGCGGCGUGCCUAAUACAUGCAAGUCGAGCGAACAGACGAGGAGCUUGCUCCUCUCACGUUAGCGGCGGACGGGUGAGUCACACGUGGAUAACCUACCUAUAAGUCUGGGAUAACUUCGGGAAACCGGAGCUAAUACCGGAUAAUAUCUUGAACCGCAUGGUUCAAUAGUGAAAGACGGUUUUGCUGUCACUUAUAGAUGGAUCCGCGCCGCAUUAGCUAGUUGGUAAGGUAACGGCUUACCACGGCGACGAUGCGUAGCCGACCUGAGAGGGUGAUCGGCCACACUAGAACUGAGACACGGUCCAGACUCCUACGGGAGGCAGCAGUAGGGAAUGUGCCGCAAUGGGCGAAAGCCUGACGGAGCAACGCCACGUGAGUGAUGAAGGUCUUCGGAUCGUAAAACUCUGUUAUUAGGGAAGAACAAAUGUGUAAGUAACUAUGCACGUCUUGACGGUAACUAAUCAGAAAGCCACGGCUAACUACGUG
Molecule: ribosomal RNA, 497 nt
Filed under: uncultured bacterium
Lineage: Bacteria
Description: partial 16S ribosomal RNA
Rfam family: Bacterial small subunit ribosomal RNA
Source: RNAcentral